This 216-nucleotide long non-coding RNA is filed under the name Gossypium barbadense (sea-island cotton). Its description in RNAcentral is "long non-coding RNA (GBAR_LNC003093)". The record is from RNAcentral. Lineage: Eukaryota; Viridiplantae; Streptophyta; Magnoliopsida; Malvales; Malvaceae.
CUGGACAUUAACUAGCCGAAUGGUCAAAAGGCCAAAUUGUCUUAUUAUCUUACAACUUUCAAAAAAACUAAUUAUAUUAUAAUCAAACCUGCAUAUACUUUUACAUAAGCUAGUAAAUUACAAUAUAAUAUCGCAUAAAUAUUUAUACAUAUAUGUAUAUCACCAACAGGGCCAUUUAUAUAUAUAAUCACACAUUUGCAUAUAAUUAUGAAUCAU